This 740-nucleotide ribosomal RNA is filed under the name uncultured bacterium. RNAcentral's name for it is "bacterial SSU rRNA". It matches the Rfam family "Bacterial small subunit ribosomal RNA", at positions 49 to 808 of the family's 1533-position model. The record is from RNAcentral.
CUACCAUGCAGUCGAGCGAUGAAGUUCCUUCGGGAAUGGAUUAGCGGCGGACGGGUGAGUAACACGUGGGUAACCUGCCUCAAAGUGGGGGAUAGCCCUCCGAAAGGAGGAUUAAUACCGCAUAAAGUUAAGCUUCCGCAUGGGAGCAUAACCAAAGGAGUAAUCCGCUUUGAGAUGGACCCGCGGUGCAUUAGCUAGUUGGUGAGGUAAAGGCUCACCAAGGCCACGAUGCAUAGCCGACCUGAGAGGGUGAUCGGCCACAUUGGAACUGAGAUACGGUCCAGACUCCUACGGGAGGCAGCAGUGGGGAAUAUUGCGCAAUGGGGGAAACCCUGACGCAGCAACGCCGCGUGGGUGAUGAAGGUCUUCGGAUUGUAAAACCCUGUCUUCUGGGACGAUAAUGACGGUACCAGAGGAGGAAGCCACGGCUAACUACGUGCCAGCAGCCGCGGUAAUACGUAGGUGGCGAGCGUUGUCCGGAAUUACUGGGCGUAAAGGGUGUGCAGGCGGAUAUUUAAGUGAGAUGUGAAAGACCCGGGCUUAACCCGGGCAGUGCAUUUCAAACUGGAUAUCUAGAGUGCAGGAGAGGAGAACGGAAUUCCUAGUGUAGCGGUGAAAUGCGUAGAGAUUAGGAAGAACACCAGUGGCGAAGGCGGUUCUCUGGACUGUAACUGACGCUGAGGCACGAAAGCGUGGGUAGCAAACAGGAUUAGAUACCCUGGUAGUCCACGCCGUAAACG